GAUGAACGCUGGCGGCGUGCCUAAUACAUGCAAGUCGAGCGAACAGACGAGGCGCUUGCUCCUCUGACGUUAGCGGCGGACGGGUGAGUAACACGUGGAUACCCUACCUAUAAGACUGGGAACACCUCGGGAAACCGGCGCAAAUACCGGAUAAUAUACUGCACCGCAUGGUGCAUUAGUGAAAUACGGCUGUGCUGUCACGUAUAGCUGGAUCCGCGCCGCAUUAGCUAGUUGGUAAGGUCACGGCUUACCAAGGCGACGAUGCGUAGCCGAGGUGAGAGGGUGAUCGGCCACACUGGAGGGGAGACACGGACCAGGGGCCUGCGGGAGGCAGCAGUAGGGAAUCGGACGCAAUGGGCGAAAGCCUGACGGAGCGAGGGCGCGUGAGUGAUGAAGAUCUUGGGAUCGGAAAACUCGGUUAUGGGGGGAGAACAAAUGUGGAAGGAACUAUGGACGUCGUGACGGUACCUGAUCAGGAAGCCACGGCUAACUACGUG
This 497-nucleotide ribosomal RNA is filed under the name uncultured bacterium. RNAcentral describes it as "partial 16S ribosomal RNA". It matches the Rfam family "Bacterial small subunit ribosomal RNA", at positions 28 to 507 of the family's 1533-position model. The record is from RNAcentral.